GAAGAUGUGACUCAGUGGUAGAGUACUUGCCUAACAUAAGCAAGGCCCUGAGUUCCAUCCCUAGCAUUUCA
RNAcentral lists this transfer RNA (71 nucleotides) under Marmota monax (woodchuck). Its description in RNAcentral is "tRNA.Val". The record is from RNAcentral. Lineage: Eukaryota; Metazoa; Chordata; Mammalia; Rodentia; Sciuridae.